RNAcentral lists this ribosomal RNA (253 nucleotides) under uncultured bacterium. Its description in RNAcentral is "partial 16S ribosomal RNA". It matches the Rfam family "Bacterial small subunit ribosomal RNA", at positions 524 to 776 of the family's 1533-position model. The record is from RNAcentral.
UACAGAGGUGGCAAGCGUUGUUCGGAAUUACUGGGCGUAAAGGGCGCGUAGGCGGUUCGUUAAGUCCUGUGUGAAAUCCCCCGGCUCAACUGGGGAACUGCACAGGAAACUAGCGGGCUUGAGUUCGGGAGAGGGAUGCGGAAUUCCAGGUGUAGCGGUGAAAUGCGUAGAUAUCUGGAGGAACACCGGUGGCGAAGGCGGCAUCCUGGACCGGUAUUGACGCUGAGGCGCGAAAGCCAGGGGAGCAAACGGG